RNAcentral lists this long non-coding RNA (1243 nucleotides) under Amborella trichopoda. RNAcentral's name for it is "long non-coding RNA (ATRI_LNC001104)". Lineage: Eukaryota; Viridiplantae; Streptophyta; Magnoliopsida; Amborellales; Amborellaceae. The record is from RNAcentral.
GAGAGAGAGAGAGAGAGAGAGAGAGAGAGAGAGAGAGAUUUUCAAAACAGGGCAAUAUGAAUCAGAGCAAAGAGAAUGCAGCCAAUGGUGCUUCUUUACCAUUAGGAAAGGAUGGCCAAAAUUGUUUCCCUUAGAAGAGGAUCCUAGUGUUGUGUCUCUAUUACCAUGAAAACACAUAAAAGUCAAAAGAAAAUGUUUCUAUCUCCAUAUUUGGGUAUAUUUCAAUCUCCAAAUGAAGCUGUCCUAUUUAAUUCUUUAUGAAAUAUCACUUUCUCUCGUACUCUCACUCCCACAGAUUAUUUCAUGCAAACUAAGUUGUAGACUCUCCAAAAAGUGAUGGACAUCCCAUUAACUAAAUGAAAUGAAGGAAACUACAUAACAAUCAAACACACUUGUAAGAUCAUAAAAGGAACUUUGAGUACAAUAAGAAAUCACAGAAAUAAAACAAAGGAAACAACAAAUUUAGCUUUUGCAAUCUGUAAAUAUCAAAAGUAAAUGUACAAGUAAAUGCAUACAAAACAACAAACUUAGCUCUUAGAAAUCACCACAUGACAAAAUUACAAAGAAAGGCAGACUCUUGUAAUAUAAUGACAGAAGCAUGCAUAGUAUCUACCCUGUUGUAGGUGUGACGAUAGCAUCUGCAGUCUUAAAAAUAUUCAUGUGAUAGAACAUUUGCCGAUGCCUGAAAUACAUUGUACAUUGACAACUUAGGCAGUCCAAAACAAAAUAUACAUAUCAAAGCAAAGGAAAAUCAAUUCCAAAACAACAAUGUAGUGCUUGAGAUAACAAAAUUAAAUUUCAAAAAUUGUUAUUUAGAGUUUGAGGAACUGUUCACAAGUACUGAACAUCCCACAUCAUCCUUGUAAUUAUUCAGCAUUCAGUAUUCAACUCUAAUACCAUGUACAUAAUCAGAAAACAAGUUCAUGGAUAGUACAAUACAUGAUGCACAAUUCAUCAGCAAUGUUAGGAUUUUAAGCCAAUUUAAAGUUUUAUAAUGACUCUAACUUCUAACGUAUCAGGAGAAAGUUGAAGUCUGAUUUUGGCACCAAAACGGGCUCAGAGCAUGAUAUCUGAUGCUUCCCCAGUAAUAUCACCUAUUUUCGGUUAUUUUACAGGAAUCUCUCAUAAACACACUCAGGCAAUCCUGCAUCUCGAGAGUUUAUUUGACCCAGGGGAAGAGCUCACAUUAUUUUUGAGCAUUGGAUGCCAAUCAACCCUAACCUUCCAUUAGACUCCCGAAUAA